GGAAGAUGACUUUAAUGAUAUUUCAAAUUCUUUGCUUCAAACUUUCGACAAAAUAAAAAAUUUUGAUUUGAAUAAAAACAAAUUUUCCAAUGAAUCAGAUGUGACUAUUCAUCUUAAAGAAAUCGAGGAAUUAAAAAUGAUAACUAAUUUAGCACAAACAAAAUUAUGUCGUAUACGUGAGAAAAUCCAAGUUGAUUCAGCCUUAUAUUGCAAAAUCGAAGAAAAAAAUUAUCUUAAAGAUGCAAUAAUAGUCAAAAUUAAUGAUCGGGAACUGAUGUUAAAGAAAACGUUAGAAGUAAUUACAGAUUUUCAAUCAAAUCUCAAAAUGUUGAAACUUUGAUCGAGAACGCUCAGGAAGAACUUUCCAUGUUGAGUCAUCUUUCUCUUAGUAUAGACGACACUAUUGAGCAAAUUUCAUCACUAGAAGCUAUGGAUGCGGAUUUUGAAAAAAUAGAAAUCGAAUAUGAAUUAUUUACUGAAUUUGUAGACUGUAUACCAAAUCAAUGGCCUAAUAUAAAUAUAUUUGAAAUCAAAGAAAAAUGUCUUUCACUUGGACGAACUUUAAAUAAACUUAAAAGAAAUUACAUUGAAAAACUAGAAAACUGUAAAUCAGUAUUCA
This is a long non-coding RNA of Octopus sinensis (East Asian common octopus), 619 nucleotides long. RefSeq lists it as uncharacterized. Lineage: Eukaryota; Metazoa; Mollusca; Cephalopoda; Octopoda; Octopodidae. The record is from RefSeq and is a predicted model, not a curated record. The transcript is spliced from 4 exons.